CAGAGCUCUGAGCUGUUCUCCUGGCCUUGCAGGCGCACACCACCCGCUCCAGCCAGCGGUGCCUGGCCUUUGUGGAUGACGUCCGAUGCUCCAACCCGUCCCUGCCGAUGACCAGGCACUGCCUUACUCGUAUCCUUUCAUCUCAGGCCCAGCUUCCAGGGGAGCCCAAAGGAAUUUUCUUCCUGUGGUCCGCUGGCCGAGCCAGAGCAUCUCCGGGGUGCGGCCAGGUCACUUGGAAGUGACAAAGGGACCUCGUGAAGCCCGAGGCAGGCCCGAGCUGGCUGCCAGCUGUGGAAUAGGUUUUCCACUGGGAAGGAAAAUGCAGUGGGAAGCUGGAAAUAACCGGAACCCAACUCCUGGCGGUGGGAGCAGCAUUGUGCGCGCUGCCGUCCCCGCUGCCUGCUGGACCUGGAAACCGGUGCAGACGCCUCUGAAAUGGACGUCUGCAAAUCAAAGUGAGCCCGGGCAUGUGGAAU
RNAcentral lists this long non-coding RNA (476 nucleotides) under Anas platyrhynchos platyrhynchos (common mallard). RNAcentral's name for it is "lncRNA (ENSAPLG00000029009.1)". The record is from RNAcentral. Lineage: Eukaryota; Metazoa; Chordata; Aves; Anseriformes; Anatidae.